UAGCAGUAUUUUUGCCGGUUCAGGUUGGAAGGUGAUGCAGCAGAAAAACUUGCAUUCGUACACUCUUUGCCUGGUGGGGAAACUGGUGCAUAUAUAUCCAUAGUGACACAGCUGCAGGGGCAGCCUCUGAGUCACUGGGGACUGCUUGCAAUCUGAAAUGGUUUUUGUAUGUAAUGUCUGCAGGGUUCAGCUCUGGGUAUGAGUCAGAAACAGCCGUAGAGUACAAAUUCAGCACCUAACAUUGGAAGCCAGCAAUUCUCAAUUAAAUGGAAUUGCUUUCAAACUUACUGUCUACCUUGAAAUGCUUUUUGAAUCUUCGCUUGCUUUGGAGAGAGCAAAAAUCUCAGGUGGUUUGAAAGGGAAGAAAUUUGGAGAGAACUUCUGAGCACUUGGAUCAGCUGGGCAAUGAGGGUGACAGACUGACAGGUUUAGAUCACAGCGAUUCUGUGCUCUUGGUCUGGUGCUCACGAAGGAGUGUUUGCUGAAUGAUGACUAAAUUCAAAUAACAGAGGAAAAUGCAGCUGCAAAAAUGACCAGAUUGCUUCUGCCAUGUGUAUGGGAAGGUGGAGGGACGCAGUGCAGAAAUGAGAGAGGAGCUUGUCCCUGGAUCAGUGGAGGAUUUCCUCGGUCGUGUUCUGUGUGUGUGCUGAGCUGGGCUCUUUGCUUCUCGUUCUUACACCGAAUGUGAGCAGCAGCUUUGUUUCAAUUAUUUAUUCACAGAGGCAUACAAGGAUGACCUUAAUAGGUCAAAUAUGAAGUCUGCAUGAUUGGCAUCCUGUCUCUAUGAUAAGCAGUGUACAGGAGUAAAAGAAAUCAUGCUUAUAUGGAGCAAUUCUUCCCUGAUCCAGUUUUUCUGCUUCUGAAGGAUCUACAGUACGAAGUGACUUAAUUGUACUUCUGUAUCUUAGGGUGCUGGGGCUGGUGUUGGAGGGCACUUCUCAUCUUUCUAAUAAAAUUAAUCAGUGCACUUUCACUUCCAGGUACCGCAAAGCGAAGCGCCUCAUUAAACAGGCUGAAUAACAAAGUUCCUCUGCACUCUCAGCAGUCAGCAGUCAAAGGUUCACAGGUGGAACAGAAAGGAGGAGCAGAAAAGAAGAGGAGCACAUCUUUGAAUAGAAUGAGUAGUAAACCCCAUCCUUCUCCUGAACUAGAAAAAGUGAAAAAGGAAGAAAAAACAGGUGGUUGUUUCAUAAAGCUGAAUUCCUCUUUUAAAACCCAUUCCCAGUAAAGUCUGGAUAGGCCUGCGCUCACUGGUGCCUUUGGUUCUGAGACCUUCAGGACUUUUUAAGGGCUUUUUAGUUACCCAGCAGUAGAGAUAAAAGAGUAAAGAUAGAAUUUCCUCCUUUGGACAAAAAAAAAACCAAAAAAAUCCUGUAAGAAGGACACGAGUUUGGAUUGGGCUCUAAGCAGAUGGUAAAUUGUCUCUGCUGAGAAGAGAGAUGUGUAUUUGGAAGCUGGUAGGACUCGGCUAUAGUAAAUGUCAGUGGUGUGUUCACUUCUGGUUAAACCUCACUUCUGCUUUUUAAGUCCCUUUCAUGGUUCAGUUUAACAGCAUCUUCUCUGGUCCUGCUGCUGGUCUAAACUCUGCAUGUGAAUGAUGGAGGAAACCUG
Molecule: long non-coding RNA, 1611 nt
Filed under: Gallus gallus (chicken)
Lineage: Eukaryota; Metazoa; Chordata; Aves; Galliformes; Phasianidae
Description: long non-coding RNA NONGGAT006656
Source: RNAcentral